Molecule: long non-coding RNA, 512 nt
Organism: Neoarius graeffei (lesser salmon catfish)
Lineage: Eukaryota; Metazoa; Chordata; Actinopteri; Siluriformes; Ariidae
Exons: 3
Source: RefSeq, a predicted model, not a curated record
AACACCGACACACAGACCUCCCCGCCGAGCCUUUCCAUCGCCCUCUACAGACGGAGGCAGGAACUGGAGCGACAGUAACAGACGGCCUCGCUCCUCCAGACUGUGCAACUGCUCCUGCUCCCACUGCAGAGAAAGCAAAAGGAGGUGGAAAGUGGAAAGGAUGCACUUUAAAGUGAAGUGAUAAAAGGAGGAAAGAGCAAUGGAUUUUACCCAAAGACGAUGAGAAAGGUGGCUCUUGAACCUUUCGCUGGGACGGAAGGGAGCAGAGUCGAAGAAUGCUCGAGUUUGCAGUGAUCACUUCGUAAAAGGUUCCCAUGACUAAAUCUGGUGUAUGAGGGGCUGAAAGGCAAAAGGAAUUCAGCAACAUUGUAAACUCAGUAGUUAUGGGGUUUUAUUCUAUUCACAUUCACUGGAUAUGAGCAAUCGUGUGCGCUGAUUGGCUACUCUACUACUAGGCUUUCAGCUCAUAUACCGUGAGUAGAGAAAAACAAAAUGGUGGCAUGUAUUGCUGA